This 465-nucleotide ribosomal RNA is filed under the name Vreelandella stevensii. RNAcentral describes it as "partial 16S ribosomal RNA". It matches the Rfam family "Bacterial small subunit ribosomal RNA", at positions 338 to 795 of the family's 1533-position model. Lineage: Bacteria; Pseudomonadati; Pseudomonadota; Gammaproteobacteria; Oceanospirillales; Halomonadaceae. The record is from RNAcentral.
CCUACGGGAGGCAGCAGUGGGGAAUAUUGGACAAUGGGGGCAACCCUGAUCCAGCCAUGCCGCGUGUGUGAAGAAGGCCCUCGGGUUGUAAAGCACUUUCAGUGAGGAAGAACGCCUGGUGGUUAAUACCCAUCAGGAAAGACAUCACUCACAGAAGAAGCACCGGCUAACUCCGUGCCAGCAGCCGCGGUAAUACGGAGGGUGCGAGCGUUAAUCGGAAUUACUGGGCGUAAAGCGCGCGUAGGUGGCUUGAUAAGCCGGUUGUGAAAGCCCCGGGCUCAACCUGGGAACGGCAUCAGGAACUGUCAAGCUAGAGUGCAGGAGAGGAAGGUAGAAUUCCCGGUGUAGCGGUGAAAUGCGUAGAGAUCGGGAGGAAUACCAGUGGCGAAGGCGGCCUUCUGGACUGACACUGACACUGAGGUGCGAAAGCGUGGGUAGCAAACAGGAUUAGAUACCCGAGUAGUC